RNAcentral lists this long non-coding RNA (278 nucleotides) under Sorghum bicolor (sorghum). RNAcentral describes it as "long non-coding RNA (SBIC_LNC004583)". Lineage: Eukaryota; Viridiplantae; Streptophyta; Magnoliopsida; Poales; Poaceae. The record is from RNAcentral.
CUAGCUCGGGCGGAGGCGAGGGCGGUGAGGAUCGUGUCGCGGACUGAGGCCUGCGAGCCUGCUCAGGGCGCCUGAGGCCCCUUGUACAAUACUUUGUUAAUUCUGUGGGUAACUGAUGCCGUAUCACUUUCGUAAUUGUUAGAUGCUUAUUUUGUCUUUCCACUUGAUGCUUUCGUUUCUCUUUGCGCCUACGUUUGCAUCCCUUGCUCGAUUUUUCGUAAAAGACCACCUCGAUCACUUCAAUGGUGGGGAAGCGAGUAGAGUUUCCGUAGCCCGGG